Orcinus orca (killer whale) is the source of this 146-nucleotide long non-coding RNA. RefSeq lists it as uncharacterized. The transcript has 3 exons. The record is from RefSeq and is a predicted model, not a curated record. Lineage: Eukaryota; Metazoa; Chordata; Mammalia; Artiodactyla; Delphinidae.
CAAACUCUCGAGAAGACAAUUUCAACAGCCACAGACAAAUGGACCUCAAAAUGCUGAAAUGCCAACAUUUUGAAAAAGAGAGAUUCAGGAACGAUGACCCCUGAAUGGAGACCAAACUAACCUUUCCUUCGAGGAGAAAUCUCUGG